RNAcentral lists this ribosomal RNA (85 nucleotides) under Uromyces setariae-italicae. RNAcentral describes it as "partial 5.8S ribosomal RNA". It matches the Rfam family "5.8S ribosomal RNA", at positions 72 to 154 of the family's 154-position model. Rfam says of the family: 5.8S ribosomal RNA (5.8S rRNA) is a component of the large subunit of the eukaryotic ribosome. It is transcribed by RNA polymerase I as part of the 45S precursor that also contains 18S and 28S rRNA. The record is from RNAcentral. Lineage: Eukaryota; Fungi; Basidiomycota; Pucciniomycetes; Pucciniales; Pucciniaceae.
UUGCAGAAUUCAGUGAAUCAUUGAAUCUUUGAACGCACCUUGCACCUUUUGGUAUUCCAAGAGGUACACCUGUUUGAGUGUCAUG